Molecule: long non-coding RNA, 2343 nt
Filed under: Homo sapiens (human)
Lineage: Eukaryota; Metazoa; Chordata; Mammalia; Primates; Hominidae
Description: HSALNT0400704
Source: RNAcentral
GCACUGCAGCCUGGGCGACAGGGCGAGACUCCAUCUCAAAAAAAAAUCAGUAAUCACAUUAAACAUAAAUAGUCUACAAACUCCAAUUAAAAGGCAAACACUAUCAAACUGGAUAAAAGCAAGAUCCCAAACACAUGAUGCCUGGGAAAAAAAACCACUUUAAACAUAAAGACACAGGUGAUAAGUUUUUUUAAAAUAUAAAAAUAUAUGCCAAACACUAAUCAAAUGAAAAGCACGAGUAGCUAUAUUAUGAGACAAAGUAAGUUCUGUCAUUUCAAAAUGACAGAGACCAAUUCAUCAAGAUGACGACAAUCAUAAAUGCUUAUGUACCUUAUAAGUAAAUUUCAAACCAAAAACAAACAGAAUUGAGAUUUUAACACCUCUCUCUAUAAUUGAUAGAACAGAAAAUCGGUAAGAAUACAGAAGACUUAAACAUUAUCAAUCAACAAGCAAAACAGAAUUGAGAUUUUAACACCCUCUGUCUAUAACUGAUAGAAUAGGAAAUCGGUAAGAAUACAGAAGACUUGAACAUUAUCAAUCAACAAGCCAAUCAACAUUAAUAGAAUGCUCUACCUAACAACAGUAGAAUACACAUUCUUUUCAAGUGCCCGUGGAACCUUUAUCAAGACACCUUAUUCUGAUCCAUAAAACAAGUCUCAAUCAAUUUAAAAGGAUUCAAAUCAUAUAAGCUACUCAGGGUACUCCAAAUCAAGCUAACAUCUUACAGUCCAUUUAACUGCCAUAGCCAAGUACUGCUGUCACAAGCAAAACAUAAAGAAGUCUGAUACGAUGCUGCUGUCUACAGCCAUACCACCCUGAAUGUGCCCGAUCUCGUCUGAUAGGUCUGCUGCGGAAGGUACUCUCUAUGGAAGAACAUAAGACCUCAGCACCAAAGUCAAGGUUUGGAGAAGGAUACUGAUGUCUUCCUCUCGAGUUGUUGGACAGAUUAGAGACAAUGUAAGUAAUGCCUACAAUGUCUGGCACAGAGUAGGUGCUCACUGGCCUGGCAUAUGGAACCCUCACAAUCUGGUCUCUGCCUCUCUACCCAUCCACAGUGACACUCUACAAACUUUAUGUUCCAAUAAUUUGUAGAUAUACCUAAUUCCCACACGUUGCAAAUACACACACUCCCUCUCACCCACUCUGACUCUUUCUCUCCUGCUAUGUGUUGUCACCAGCUCCUGCUUAUGCCCUCUGUGAUUGGCCUAACUCCUAGUUACCCUUCAAGAUUCAGCUCAGAAAGCACCUUCCUCCAGGAAGCCUUCCCUGAUCUCUGCCAGGCAGAGGUAAAUGUCUCUUUUCAAUGUUCCCAUUGUUUCAUAACACAUACAAUUAUCUUCCAAACCAGGACAGUUGAGAGUGAAAGGAGAAACUAUGACUAGACAAGAGGCAGCAACUGGGAUAUCUGUUUAUGAUUUAUACAACUAUGAUAACACGUAUCAUGACUGUAGUAAAAUUCUGUUCCUGCGUCUGGACCUUCUUCAUCCCCAGAAGACCAUAAGCCCUGAGGGGCAAACCUUAUCCACCUCUGUAUUCCAAGAACCUAAGUGCCAAGAUGGGCAGUACUGACUUGAACAAACCUACAAUAAACCCUGGAACAAGCUACUAAUGUUCACUGCCACAGAUAACAUUUCUUUGAUACUAAUUAAAUGAAAGCUGAGCUGGCGAAUUUUUAUAUCUUUUUUUUUUAAGAAGCAUGACUCAAAUAGUAACUACCAAUUAUUUAAACAGCAAUCAGAAAUAGCCUGAGAAUUUAAGACAGGGGAAACAGAAUCUCUAAAGGGAAGUUACAUCAAAAGAUACAAAGUAUUCUUUUUUAUUAAAACUGUUUAUGCCUCCAGCUCUUGGUAUAAGAACAAGUCAGCAGUGUUCUAUUCCUAGUCUCUUUCUAGACUACAUUUUUUUUUUUAAGUAUCUCUUCUCUUACUUCAAAGGGGAAAAAAAUGUUUGAUGUAAGAACUGGUCAGUCAUGAAUCAAAGUAAAAGAUAAAGCAUACAACAAAGAGUUUCUCGAAGCCAGGGAGAAUCCAUUUAGCGUCCUCGAUUUAAAGGGAAAUCCCCUUGGCUAUUUCUCCCAAACAAACUGUUUAUAACAAGUUGGAGGAUUUAUAUCCACUCAACCACAUAAGGUCUACUUCUUACACCUAGAAAAGACAAUACUACAAAAUGUGUGAAAGAAAGACUAUUUUUCAACAGCAUAAUUAACAUCUGCAAAAAUCAAUCUCCUGGGGUACACUAUACUGAAAUUCUUAAGAAUCUUCUUUCCUCUACGAAAGGUUUUUUUGUUGUUGUUGUUUUGUUUGUUUGUUUUUGAGACAGAGUCUUGCUCUGUCGCCCAGGCUG